Molecule: non-coding RNA, 76 nt
Organism: Potamilus streckersoni
Lineage: Eukaryota; Metazoa; Mollusca; Bivalvia; Unionida; Unionidae
Source: the annotation of a GenBank genome assembly
UCCCGUGGCCUAGUGGUGAGAGCGUCCGCCUCAGAUGCGGGAGGGCGGUUGCGGAUUCAAUCCCCGGUCGAGUCAU